UACGGGGGGAGCAAGCGUUGUUCGGAUUUACUGGGCGUAAAGGGCGCGUAGGCGGCCACCGCAAGUCGACUGUGAAGUCUCCGGGCUUAACCCGGGAACUGCGUCCGAUACUGGAAGGCUUGAAUCCGGGAGAGGGAUGCGGAAUUCCAGGUGUAGCGGUGAAAUGCGUAGAUAUCUGGAGGAACACCGGUGGCGAAGGCGGCAUCCUGGACCGGCAUUGACGCUGAGGCGCGAAAGCCAGGGGAGCAAACGGG
RNAcentral lists this ribosomal RNA (254 nucleotides) under uncultured bacterium. RNAcentral describes it as "partial 16S ribosomal RNA". It matches the Rfam family "Bacterial small subunit ribosomal RNA", at positions 524 to 776 of the family's 1533-position model. The record is from RNAcentral.